GUUGUGGCUCAGGGAUAGAGCUCUCGCCUAACACAUGCAAGGCCCUGGGUUCAAUCCUCAGCACAACA
Molecule: transfer RNA, 68 nt
Filed under: Marmota monax (woodchuck)
Lineage: Eukaryota; Metazoa; Chordata; Mammalia; Rodentia; Sciuridae
Description: tRNA.Val
Source: RNAcentral